Pan troglodytes (chimpanzee) is the source of this 2319-nucleotide long non-coding RNA. RefSeq lists it as uncharacterized. The transcript has 3 exons. Lineage: Eukaryota; Metazoa; Chordata; Mammalia; Primates; Hominidae. The record is from RefSeq and is a predicted model, not a curated record.
AAGCUCCCAAGCGGUUACUGGCCAUGCCCCCAGGAUGUAAAACAAGAUGGAGGUUUGCAGCACAAACCAAACAGAAAUGCAAAGCGCACCAAAUUGGCCACAGCCGAAGGUUAGCCCCACAAAUCCUUUUUCACAAUUAAACCUUUAAAGAGAAUAAGUUAACUGCUGUUGGAGUUGAGAAGAGGAAAGAAAAAAGUUUAAAAAUACCUGGGGAAGAACUUCUUAUUCUUAUGCAAGUGCUUCCUCCAACAGGGAGAUAAAUUUAAUUCCUGUGGGUCAGAGCUGGCCUCCCUGGAGCGAAGAGGAAGACACUCCAUGGGCACGAGGCAGAAACUGCCAGUCAGCUACUCAGGGCAACUUGGGCCAUGCGUCCCAGCCCAGCAGGGAGGGGAGGGCGGUGGGGAGCCGCUGCUUACUGGACCCUCUUGAAAAAGGAAGCAAAGGACUGUGUCCGGAAUUGGUGGGUUCUUGGUCUCACUGACUUCAAACAUGAAGCCGCGGACCCUCGCGGUGAGUGUUACAGUUCUUAAAGGCGGCGUGUCCGGAGCUUCUUCCUUCUGAUGUUCGGAUGUGUUUGGAGUUUCUUCCUUCCGGUGGGUUCGUGAUCUUGCUGGCUCAGGAGUGAAGCUGCAGACCUUCGCGGUGAAUAACAACAUCAAGAAGAAAAUGGAAGCUAUCAGAAAAGCCUCUACCAUCCCCACCACAUCUACCUGUCUGCCUGUGUGUGUUCCUAAACUCCAGCUUCUCUCAUGAAAGAACUCUCCAUGCAUCUGGCUUAAGGUCAUCCCAUCCCUGAUCUCCACUUAAGGUUCAUGGCUGGAGGGAGCUUGCCUUGAGACUCAAAUGAGAUUUUGAACUUUAAACGAUCGAGUUGUUGCUGAAACAGGUAAGACUUUGCAGCUAUAGGGUGAUUGUAUUUUGUACUUGAAAAAGACAUGAGUUUGAGGGGCCAGGGGCCGAAUGCUAUUGGUUUGACUGUGUCCCCUCUGAAACUUAUAUUGAAAUUUGAUUCCCAAUUUGGCAGUGUUUGGAGGUGGGCCUACUGCGAGGUGUUUGAAACAUGGGAGUACUGCCCUCAUGAAUAGAUUAAUGCUGUCUUAAAGGAGUAAGUUCUUGCUAUUGCAGAAAUUAAUUAGUUCCCAUGAGAGUGGGUUGUUAUAAGUGAGCCCAGCCUCUCAUGCGUGUCCCUUUGCACUCAUCUGCUCGCCUUACUGCUUGUCUGCUAUGUUGUGAUGUAGCACAUGGCCCUAACUAAAAGGUGAGCAGAUAACAGUAUCAUGCUCUUGGACUAGAAUUGUCACCAGAAUUGUGAAACAAAUGAAACUAUUUUCUUUAUAAAUUACCCAGUCUCAGGGAUUCUGUUACGGCAACACAAAAUGGACAAAGACAGGAGGUAAUUAGCAUUAGAUAAGAUCCUCAGGGUAGGAACCUCAUGAGAUUGGCAGCUUUAUAAGAAGAGGAAGAGAGACCUGAGCUGGAACAUUUGCUCUGUCUUGCCACAUAAUGUCUCUUGCCAAGUCAUGACACAGCAGGAAGGCCCUCAUUAGAUACCUGUGCCAUGCUCUUGGACUUCCCAGCUUCCAGAAGAGUGAGCUAACUAAAUCUCCAUUCUUUAUAAAAUUACCCAUUCUGCAGAAUUGAAAUACAGCAACAGACAAUAUUUUAAGACAAUUACAUCUUCAGACAAUUAAGGCAUAAUUAAAACAAUAGAAAUGUUGAACUUACAGAAUGCAGGUGGUGGGAUUGUUGAGAAGGUGCUGGUCAAAAGACAUAAAAUUUCAGCUGGAUAAACCUAGAGUUUACAAGGGUAUUGGGAAAUGGAUUUAAAAAAAAUACUUCUGGGAGAGUAAUGUUGCAGUCUUUCAAAAAAGCAGUUUGCGUUAAUUAAGGUUUUUAAUUCUGUAUACUUCUAGGGAUUUAUUCUAAGGGAAUUCAUAUGAUUCACAUACAGAUUCCAAUAUACUAAUCUCAGCAUUAUGUAUACUAAUGCAAAUUUGAAAGCAAUGAACAUUGAUUUAAUAAACUGUCACAUUCAUAUAAUACCAUGUAGGUAUUAACAUAGUAAGAAAAAAAGUAUUCUAAUAUGAAAAGCUAUAUUCAUGACAAAUUAUUAAUUUAAAAUCAAGUUAAAUGGUUUAUUUAUAAUAAUCCUUUCUUUCUCAUAUCUCUUUAUAUGCAUGUAGACAGGAUACCAAAAUGUUAACAGUGAUAUUCUCUGGGUAGUGGGAUUAUCAAUUAUAAAUUUUCUUUUUGUAUUAUUUGUAUUUUCUAAAUUUCAUAAAAUAAAUAGGUAUUAUUUUAUAAUAAAGUUUUCUAAAA